Lagopus muta (rock ptarmigan) is the source of this 1866-nucleotide long non-coding RNA. RefSeq lists it as uncharacterized. The record is from RefSeq and is a predicted model, not a curated record. Lineage: Eukaryota; Metazoa; Chordata; Aves; Galliformes; Phasianidae. The transcript is spliced from 4 exons.
CGGUUCAUCCUCCUUUCUUUCAGAGCUGUGCUCCUAAAAGCAAAACAGCACUCGGGGCUGCUGGCUACAAAGCAGAAAGCAUGCACACAACUGGUGGGACUAAAGGAGCAGCGCCGAGGAAGCAUUUAUCUUCAUGUUAUCUCCUAAUUUAAGAUCCAUUCUGGCAAAACUUCACUUCUUCUGCUUAAGCUGCAAUGUCAAGCUGCAAAUACUCAGCAGCUGAGGAGCCGAGAUGGAGGGAAGCCAAUGGUGAAUCCUGUCACCCAUUUCCAGAGUGUAAGAUGCAGCAGCAUCGCUCAGCUCAGCAUGGGAUGGAAACAUAGCAGGGAUUUGGCUGUACUCCUGCUCCUACCAUUCAUUCUCUUCAGCUGGGAUUACAGGAGCUGAGGAAAAGCAGAUCUCAGUCAGGCAAUAGAGCUGACAAAUUCUGGUCGGAAACAUCCGCAGACGUGACAGCAGUAGCCUUUUACAGAAGCUGUUUGGAACUGGCCACAGAUCUGGGCAUACAAGCCUCAGCAAAAUCUCAUUCAGUGGACACUGAGCACAUAUACCACCGGUACAUCCUGGGGACAUGUCACUUUGACUCAUUCUGUGCUGUCACUGUGCUGGUUCUGCAGCCCCUAGCUACACAUGCCAGUGAUCUAGAGCUGUGGCAGGAGGUUACAGUGGUAAGCAAAGGUGACAAACAUCUCCUAAAAGUGGAAAUCAAUUUUGCUAAUGUUAUCCUGGCCACAGCUUUAUACCCACUUCUCCAUGUUAAAGAAGGAUAUUAUGGAAGAUACAAGAAGUGUGAUGGCUUGUUGCCAUGGGCAGUAGGGGAUUCCAUCAUCUUGAUCCAGGAGGACUGCUUACAAGCUCAGGUAAUGCAACAGAACAGUGACUGACUUAGGCUCUUUGCUGUGCAAGGCAAGAAGUUCUGCCAUGUUUUCACUCUGAAGUUUUCACGGCUUCAGUAUUAAAAUGCCUCACAUGAAAGGACGUUCACCUUUUCUUUCUCCACAGCGUAAGCCACAGCUUGUGGAAGCCAAAGGCUUCAAGCGUGAUAUAGGACCACACUGCUAUAUCUCUUGUCAGCUGAGGUUUAGAAAAAACAAAUGCACAAAACCCAAAACCUUCCCCCAAACCCAUAAACACUGCAGUCUGUAAAGCAAGGGUUGAAGUGUGAACUGCACUGUUCUCACGGUGGGGAGGAGAGGAAACAACUUAUACCAUUGCAGCUACUGCUGUUAAUGCCAAGAUUCAAAGAAGAAAGAAGAUGAUUAUGAUAUGUUAGACAGGCUCAAAGACCUGCUUCUGUCUCUUUCUGCUACUGGCAUUUGUAUUUCAUAGUAUACUGUGUGUCCAUGUCCCUGAGAGCUUGUCCCUGGGAGAGCUAAAUCCUCCCCACACUAAGACUGAUAGUAGACAAAAUAUUUUCUGUUCUCCUACAGUCUGUGUUAAGUCAAUAUUGCCCAGAGAAGUUGUGGAUGUCCCCUUCUGAAGAUGUUCAAGGCCAGGUGGGUUGGGGCUUUGGGCAUCCUAGUGUAGUGGAAAAUGUCCCUGCUCAUGGCAGGCAGUUGGAAACGGGUGACCUUUAAGUCCUCCUCCAACCCAAACCAUUCUAUGGUUGUAUGAUAUCCCAGCUUUAGUCAUUGACCUAAACCAUCCUAGGUACUUGAAGGCAGGCCUUCAUUUAACUUUUUAGUUUCCAUGCUUAUGUUUCAUAGCAUUAUGGAUUUGGGAUAUUUUUACCCUAUACCAACACAUCUUGUAUGUUCCUAGCCAUUGGAUUAGAAUUUAGGUUUCCAUUUUUUUGUUAGUAGCUACUUUUACGUAGAGCACUGGUGUGUUAUCAUGUAAAUCAAUGGACAUGUUCUUCAAUCUCAC